RNAcentral lists this long non-coding RNA (23833 nucleotides) under Panicum hallii. RNAcentral's name for it is "long non-coding RNA (PHAL_LNC000079)". Lineage: Eukaryota; Viridiplantae; Streptophyta; Magnoliopsida; Poales; Poaceae. The record is from RNAcentral.
GAUGGAAUCGCCAGGAAAGAGGCAGCGGCUUGUGCGCACUUACGACUCUGCUGGUCUGGCUGUUUCAUCAACCUACUUUCUGGAGAGCAAAGUAUGAAUCACACCUUCCACACCCAUACCGAGUAGCAACGGUUUUGUAAGUUCCCUAGCAACCUCAUUGAUUAGUUUUGCUGUAUGUUGCUCGGUACAUGACAAUUGAGUAUAUAUUGCCACUUGUCAGACAUCAUUGUCUACGCAGAACACAGAAUCAAACGAGUGCUUCAUUCUUCGUUUCGCUCGCAUUCUACCAGUGUUUCAUGCAUCCUCCUUAUACUUCAUUUUGUGUGGGCAUAGAUAGUAAGGUUCAAAUUUGGAGUUUGCCUCUACCUUUUCAAGUGCCCAUGUGGUCGAAACUGAAUAUUAAAGCAUCCUUCAAUCUACAUGAACUCUCGGCUUCUGCCUGCCGCACUUAUCGGAGCCACUCUACCGCUUAUGCCAGGUAGUGUAUGCAGUAUUGCAGACUUGCAGUAAACUGGUUGGUCAGGCGCUCUGCUGCUGAGAUGGGACAAUAUCGUUUAAGAGCGGGCGGGCAUUGCAUCCGCACACUAGCCAUUCGUUUGUGACCUUGACUCAUGGGUCAGGGUUGGCGUUCGGUCUUUAAAUCAUUUGAAGACUUCGGUUAGCUGGAAAUGACAACAAAAAUUUAGUACAAAAUUGUCAAGACUGAACAAUUCACUUGCACUCAGUUCGUGCUCGGGGUCAGUCUCGACCAAACUAACCGAUCAUAAAAUCAUAAAAAAAUAAAAUCAACCACUACCAGACGUGCCACUGCAUACAACCCGCUAACUCUCUCUCUCUCUCUCUCAAAGAGAAGAAAAACAAAAGAAGGGUCAACAGGAUCCACAUAAUUAAAAUACAACCCGGUUUCUUAAAAACAAAGAAAUAGGAAGCAAAAGCUUACCAAGUCUACGAGUCAAGGUCACCGCUGCAUACAACAGUGGCAUUGUGACUCAUGGGGUUGGCGUUCGGUCACAUCGUUUCGGUCUUUAAAUCAUUUGAAUAGUUCGGUUGGGUGGAAAUGACAACCAAUUUUGGUACAAAAUUGUCAAGACCGGUCAGUUCGUUCUCGGGUCACUCUUGACAAAACAAACCGAUCGUAUAUUUAAAAAAUAAAAUAAAAUCAAGCAUCACCAGUCACUCUCGAUCGUCAAAAUAUACUAGAAAUAUAGCAGGGUAAUUAGAAUUGUCAGACUUUUUUAUCUUUUAUUUAUUGUUUAUUUUCUCCUAAAAUUCAAUCGCUUAUAUUAAUGUGGCACCCUAUCUCUAGAAUAAUGGGAGUAAAGUAAAUAUCCACGUAUUUAAAAUACAACAACAACAACAACAACAACUUAGCCUUUUGUCCCAAGCAAGUUGCGGUAGGCUAGAGAUGAAACCCACAGAAAACAAGAAUAAGAAACACAGAAAGGGUACAAACCAAAGGAACAGUUAGGGGUUUAAUAAAAAGUAACAAACGUCACGGUUCAGGUACGCUAAUUGCUAAUCUCCAAGCGCUCCUAUCCAAUGCUAAUUUCUUAGCGAUAUUCCACUCCUUAAGGUCUCUCUUGACCGUCUCGUCCCAAGUUAGUCUAGGUCUACCUCUACCUCUCCUUACAUUAUCUCCCCGUUUUAAAACUCCACUACGCACCGGCGCCUCGGGAGGCCUCCGUUGUACAUGUCCAAACCAUCUCAACCGAUGUUGAAUCAACUUCUCCUCGAUAGGUGCCACCCCGACCCUAUCUCGAAUCUCUUCGUUCCGGACUCUAUCCCUUCUUGUAUGCCCGCAGAACCAACGCAGCAUACGCAUCUCCGCUACACUCAGUUGCGGACAUAUCUCCUUUUUGUAGGCCAACAUUCAGCACCGUAUAGCAUCGCCGGGUGAAUCGCCGUCCUAUAGAACUUACCUUUUAGCCUCUGUGGCACCUUCUUGUCACAGAGGACGCCAGAAGCCUGCCGCCACUUCAACCAACCGGCUGAAAUUUUAUGCCUAACAUCUUCAUCAAUGUCUCCAUCUUUCUGAAGCAUGUAUCCUAGAUACCGAAAAGUAUCCUUCUUGGCCACCACUUGACCUUCGAGGCUAACAUCCCCAUCCUCAUGCCUAGUCGGGCUAAAGUCGCACAUCAUAUACUCGGUCUUGGUCCUACUCAGUCUGAACCCCCUCGACUCUAACGUGUGUCUCCACAGCUCCAACUUCAUAUUAACCCCUGCCCUACUCACGUCAACUAGCACCACAUCAUCAGCAAAGAGCAUACACCAAGGGAUAUCACCCUGUAUGUCCCUUGUGACCUCAUCCAUCACCAAAGCAAAUAGAUAAGGGCUCAAUGCUGACCCCUGAUGUAGUCCUAUUUUAAUUGGAAAGUCACUGGUAUCGCCAUCACAUGUUCGAACACAAGUCAUCGCAUCCUUGUACAUAUCCUUUAAAAAACAACGCGGUUUCUAAAAAAGAAAAAGCAAAAGCUUGCAAAGUUACUUGUGAUUGAACCUUUGCUUUUUUAAAAAAGAAAAAGCAAAAGCUUGCAAAGUUUCAUGAUGUUCGUAUUUUUCUAGAUUUAUUGCAGGAUCUAAACGACGUUAUUGUUUCAGUGGUAACCGGUCCUAUUUUUUCAGUGGUAACUGGCUCUAUUUCUUUCAGUGGUCGGUGACGUGCCCGUCAACAACGAGUCGUCUGUGAUGACUUCGUCAAUCUUAAAGAUCUGCCAGUUCAGUCUCUCGAGGGUACUUGUAAGAGUAGAGCUGCGUAUGUGUAUUCAUAAAUAUGCGUACAUGUAUAUGAGUGUCUGCGUGUGCAUUGUGUUUCGGAGAAAAAACUUACUAAGUCUACGAGUCAGGGUGACGUGAUCGAGCGAUUGGAAAGUGUGUGCAUGCAACGAGCACAGAGAAACAACUGAGGUGAAAUCAAACGGGACGAGCUAAUAUUAAUACACAACUAAAGUCCUUCUAACUAUUUAAAUAACAUCUAUCCAAAUAAUUAAUUUAACCAGCAAAUGGAUUAGCUGGUCCACAAACGAUAUUAUACGGUGGCGACUCGAGCCUUUGAGCGAGCAAGCAUCCCAUUUGUGGCGAGCACACAUACUUCGUCUUCUCGCUCGGCAGAGAGAUAUGAGAGAUACAGAGUGUUGCCGGAGAUAUAAUAGACAAAAGCAGGUGUGGAUCGCUUGGACCAGGAAUGGUUGUUCUUUUCGUUCAAUUUACUCCUGGCACACCGCUGUUCGAUUUUCUUCUUUCUUUCUUUUGGUUUCUUGAUAUAUUCGUAUUGACCCGUCUGUGCUCGCCGUGUUUUGGUUUCACAGGUCUUAGCUAGAUACCUCACAACACGAGGCUCUGCUCGGCGUGUCAAGUGGGAGAUGCUCGUGCUGCUUGGACUAUUGCUUCUUUGCCGUGGAAUCGGCAGCACCCAUGGCUCACCGGACGACCACGCCGGCGACGGCGACAUGAUGUCGCUGCUGGAUUUCAAGAGGGCCAUCACCAGCGACCCAAAGCGAGCUCUAGCCACAUGGAACACAAGCAACCCCUUGUGCAGGUGGGCUGGGGUCGCGUGCGGCCGGGCGCACCGGGGGCGUGUGAUCACAUCGCUGGGACUCGCAGGCCAGGACCUCGAAGGUGAAAUCACCUCCUCUCUUGGAAAUCUCACGUUUCUGAAGACGCUGAACCUGUCCGAGAACAGCUUCUCAGGCCGCUUGCCUCCUCUGGGCCGUCUCGGCAAACUGGAGGUCCUUGAUCUGAGCCGGAACUCGUUGCGCGAUGCUAUCCCAGAUGGAAUCGCCAAUUGCUCCAGCCUUCGUAUACUUGACCUCUCUGAAAACUCUCUAGUCGGUGAACUCCACCCUAAACUCGGCUUACUUUCUGGUCUCUCAGCUUUAGAUCUACACGGGAAUAGACUCAGAGGAACCAUCCCACCGUCCCUCGACAAUAUGACUCACCUAAAAGUACUCGGUCUAGAAAAUAAUAGCCUGUCAGGAAGUAUCCCUGCUGAGCUUGGAAAAUUAUCGAAUUUGUGGAUCUUGUCUCUAGGUGAAAAUAUAUUAUCAGGCGGCAUACCACGUUGCUUGGGAAAUCUCCAACAACUCAGGUGGAUGGAACUUGAUAACAACAAUCUCAGGGGUAAAAUACCAGUUACCUUGGGGAAUCUCCAACAGCUCAAAUUGAUGGAUCUUAGUCACAGCAAUCUCAGUGGUAAAAUACCACGUACCUUGGGGAAUCUCCAACAACUCAUAAUGAUGAACCUCAGUAACAACAAUCUCAGGGGUAAAAUACCAGUUACCUUGGGGAAUCUCCAACAGCUCCAAUUGAUGGAUCUUAGUCACAACAAUCUCAGUGGUAAAAUACCGCGUACUUUGGAGAAUCUCCAACAACUCAUGUGGAUGGACCUUAAUAACAAUAAUCUCCGUGGUAAAAUACCACGUACAUUGGGGAAUCUCCAACAGCUCUUAUCCAUGGAUCUUAGUCACAACAAUCUCGAAGGUGAUAUACCAUCCAAUUUGGGUGACCUUGGUCAACUCUACCACCUGGAUCUUAGCGACAACAAACUUAAAGGUAUCAUACCUUAGGAAGUCAUUCUGUACUUGCACAGUAUUCAGCCGCACCAUCCUGUAAUAGUACUCGUUUCAAGGUUCAAUACGCGUAGAUCGCAAGUUUGCUCCAGCAAUCUCACCGCACCACGGUGGACUGGAAGCGAGCCUCACUUGAGAAAUACAUGUAAUUCACUGUGAGCUGAUUCGUCUGAUGAAAAGAUCCCAUGAUCUCAUUUUUGUGGUACACCUUCCUGGUAUAUGUUAAUGACACGAAAAGUGUUUCCUGUUUGCUACUGGCAUAAACUUGAUCUCUUUUUUUCCAACCUUCGCACGUCAAUUUUUCAUAGUCGUACGAGUGCAGAGAGAAAAGGCUACGUAAAGUGUCACAAGAAAGUGGAUGCACGAACGGAAUUACGGCUGUUUAACUAUCACUAUCAGUUGGAGUGGCUUCAAUCGGCAUGACGGCAAACCGAGCGCCAAAGGCCGCCGCCGCACUCGAUCGCCGAAGCCGGCCGACUUCAGUUGGACGGGUUGCCGGUUCCUGCAGCUACAUCUGCAGACCUGUCGGACACGGGGGACAGUUCUUCAGUUCAACUUGCAUCCUGGCAAAGCCAUCAAACUCGUAUGUUCUUUUUUUUUCGUUUUAUUUGUGUACUCGUGUGCUGACAUGACAUCUUCAUGCGUGGCACCUUGCAGAGAUAUCGAGCUUCUGAGGUGAACGAAGGGAAGCACACCAUGCCUGUAACACUGCCGCUGCUGCUGCUGUUCUGCAUCGGGCGUGUAUGCAGUAUUGCACACAGGUUGCAGUAAUAAAUACAAUCCGGUUUCUCAAAAACAAAAAGCAAAAGCUUACCAAGUCUACGAGUCUUUCGAAAAAAUAAUCUACGAGUCAAGGUCACCGCAGCAUGCAACAACAGCGUGAUUGAGCGAUCGGAAAGUGUGUGGAUGCAACGAGCACCAAGGAAUAGAUUUAUACGGGCACGCAUACUUCGUCUUCUCGCUUGGCAGAAAGCUAGAUAGGGUAGAUACAGUUCCGAGUGUUGCCGGAGUUCAAAUAAACCAAAGCGGGUGCGGAUCGCUUGGACCAGAAAUGGUUGUUCUUUUCGUUCAAUUUACCCCUGGCAUAGCGCUCUUCGAUUUUCUUCUUUCUUUCUUUUGGUUUCUUGAUAUACUCGUAUUGACCCGUCUGUGCUCGCCGUGUUUUGGUUUCACAGGUCUUAGCUAGAUACCUCACAACACGAGGCUCUGCUUGGCGUGUCAAGUGGGAGAUGCUCGUGCUGCUUGCACUAUUGCUUCUUUGCCGUGGAAUCGGCAGCACCCAUGGCUCACCGGACGACCACGCCGGCGACGGCGACAUGAUGUCGCUGCUGGAUUUCAAGAGGGCCAUCACCAGCGACCCAAAGCGAGCUCUAGCCUCAUGGAACACAAGCAACCCCUUGUGCAGGUGGGCUGGGGUCGCGUGCGGCCGGGCGCACCGGGGGCGUGUGAUCUCGUUGGGACUCUUAGAUCAAGGCCUCGAAGGUGAAAUCACCUCCUCUCUUGGAAAUCUCACGUUUCUGAGGACGCUGAACCUGUCCGAGAACAGCUUCUCCGGUCGAUUGCCUCCUCUGGCUCAUCUCGGCAAACUGAAGGUCCUUGAUCUGAGCCAGAACUCGUUGCGCGAUGCUAUCCCAGAUGGAUUGGCCAAUUGCUCCAGCCUUCGUAUACUUAACCUCUCUUACAACUCUCUAGUCGGUGAACUUCACCCUAAACUUGGCUUAAUUUCUGGUCUCUCAGCUUUAUUUCUACGUCAGAAUAGACUCACAGAAAUCAUCCCACCGUCCCUCGACAAUAUGACUCACCUAGAAAUACUCGAUCUAGGAAACAAUAGGCUGUCAGGAAGUAUCCCUGCUGAGCUUGGAAUAUUAUCGAAUUUGUAGAAUUUGUAUCUGUUUGAAAAUAGUUUAUCAGGCGGCAUACCACAGUCCUUGCUUAAUCUGUCCUCUCUACAGAUUCUAGCUUUGGGUCAGAAUAUGCUAGGGGGAGUGUUGCCGCCAAACAUUGGUGAUGCGCUCCCUAAUCUCCGAUGAUUUUCUUUAUACGACAACAUGUUUGGUGGUCACAUCCCAGCUUCCAUAGGCAACUGCUCAAAGAUAGAGUCUAUCUAUUUAGGAUCUAACAAUUUCUCUGGUCUAGUUCCUCGUUCUUUCGGCAAGCUUACCUGUUCUUUGACAAGUUUCUUCUAGAGAUUGCACCAUGCUUGCCUGCUUGGUGAACUUGAAGCAAACCUUCCAAAAGAAAAUACAAUAUUUACAUGUCAGCGGAGUUGUCUAAUGUAAAUAUUGCAGAAUCCCUGGUACACUUUCCAGUGAUAUGUUAAAACAACUGACGAAAAAUUCUUUUCUUUUUGUUAUUUGCAUAAACCUGUUCUCCCAGAAACACUCAAGUGCUAUAUGAUACUGUAUUACGCAAAUCAGAACACCUGCAGCACUGCAAAGAAAUCUGUUUUGCCUUUGAAGGUCGAAACUGUAUACACAUAUAUAAUUUUCGAGUUCCAAUCCAUUUUUUCAAAGAAAACAAGAUGAUGUAUAGCAUGCUUCUGAUAACCAUGAUGCUGUACAAACAAUUGCAACUAGCGCAUGUAUCGUGGCAACUUUAAUCAAAAGAAAAAUAGAGAAAUCUCCCAUGCUACAGUGGACGGGAUCUUUGCUCCUCUGAGGCAAAACGGGUAAUCCUACCUACAGGCUGGGAGGAUGGCUCCCCAGAACAAUAGAGAAAUCUCACCAUUGUUGUCAGAUAGCAAGGUCGUCUGAUGGUUUUCAGUCUUUAACAAGAAGCACGAACACCAAUCAUCUUUGUUUAUUAAGCAUCGGACAAAAAUGUAAUUCACUACUAUAUAGUUCUAUUAAUAUUAUCCAGGCAAUAAUUUGUAUGCAGCAAUAGUAUCAUGAAACUCACAGCAGUAUAUUGACCAAAAUGAACUGACAAUAAAUGUAUCUCCUGUUCUCAAACGAUACAUGUAAUUGAAAUAUAGAUAACUACCAAACUAUAAACACUUUUCACUGAUACGAGACAAGGCUGAAAAAAAAAAUUCUUCUAGCACUCCUUUUCCAAGCCAUCAUUGCCCCAAGAUGGUUGCUAUAUAUAUGCCAGAUUAGGAUGGAUGGCCAUUGUCUUCAAAUGAAAGACAUCAACUUGAAGUAUACAAUCAGGUAGAGAGAAAGAGAGAACACUGCACAAAUAUGCUGCCAGAAUAGAAGAGCCGAUGCUUCCUUAACACCAUAUCCUCUCAGGCUGGCAAUUGCUCCAAGCAGGAUAGCGCUUGGCGUGGAGUACUGAAGCGAAAGAACAAAGCGGUACAUAUGGUCUUGCUCAACAAGUAGAUUCAAUUUGUCUGCUAGCGUCACAACACCAAUGCCAAUGCAUGGGAGCACCAAAAGCCUUGCCACAAUUAUACCGACGAUAGUCCUGAUGCCCAAGGCAUUAUCCUUUGGGCCUUCCGCAAGCAUGCCUCCGAGAAUUAACAUCACCGAGGGAACCACUGCAGCAGCUAGGAUAUCCAAACUAUCAGUGAAGAACGAGAGUGGUGCAUCAGCCCCGAACACAAAAUCUUUCAAGACAGGAACCAUGCCGAUGAUAAUGGCAAGCAAAGAGGCAAUUGUCGGUGGCUGAAGGACGUGCUGGAUUGGAGUCUUUUCAGCUACAACCCUGAUCCUUCUGACCAUUAUUGGCUCUGCCAAACAUCUGAGCGACUUAGGACUGCUCGGUCCAGCACCAGAAGUUCCCUCUUCAGUAAAAUCAAUAUCAGGAAAUGUAUUCUGCGAGGAACCUGAAAUGCUCAUGAAAACUCUGGCGAUGAAUGGUGUCUUUGAGUGCUCUGUUACUUUAUCAACCAUCCCUGGCCAUUCCGCCUCAUGAAGCAGAGACCUACUGUAGUUGCUGAUCUGCUCAGGUUCUUCCUGUAUCUCAUUACCCUCACCCACAAUCUCAUAGAACUGCAUAGGUGGCUCCAUCAUGUGGUAGACCAAAGUGUAGACAAGGAUAACCGCAACCCACUGAGCAAAUGAGACAUAAGCGUGUGGUGACUUCAUCAAUCUUAAAGAUCUGCCAGUUCAGUCUCUCGAGGGUGCUCGUAAGAGUAGCUGCGUAUGUAUGUUCAUAAAUAUGUGUACAUGUAUAUGAGUGUCUGCGUGUGCAUUGUGUUUCGGAAAAAAAAACUUACUAAGUUUAUGAGUCAAGGUCACGUGAUCGAGCGAUUGGAAAGUGUGUGCAUGCAACGAGCACAGAGAAACAACUGAGGUGGAAUCAAACGGGACCAGCUUUGGUCUGAUAUAUAUAUAUGUCAUUGGUACAUACUCUCAUUGGUUGAAUCGUAAAACGGCGUCAACCUAAUGUUUUGGUGAAAUGGACCUAAUCAACUGACCUGUACCAUUUUCUGCAUCAGCAUGCUUCUGCUCUUUCCUUUAUGUUAGUCAUAUCCGUGUUUACAAGGAGCAUGCAAACAUUUAGUCGGACACAGCUUAUGCUGCGUGCCGUAUUUUUUCAGCAUCAGAAAAGGCUCUUAAAGACUAGAAAUGGUCGCUUACAUUAUUGCUACACUAUUGCGAAUAUUUGCUACUUCUGUUCAUAGGACACUAUAUCAACAAAAUCUGGAACUAGCACGACAACAACGGUCAACUGGACAGGAUCAGCAAGCAAUAACUUGCUUCAGUUUGACGGAGGAUACGAAAUGACACUGCUACCUGGUGGAAUGUACAUGGGAUACCCAUCAGACAUCAGCAAGUGUGUCGCCCAGUUAGACUCUUUCCAUCUGGAGUUCUGUUGGAUGGAAUCGCCAGGAAAGAGGCAGCGUCUUGUGCGCACUUACGACUCUGCUGGUCUGGCUGUUUCAUCAACCUACUUUCUGGAGAGCAAAGUAUGAAUCACACCUUCCACACCCAAACCCCGAGUAGCAACGGUUUUGUAAGUUCCCUAGCUUCCUCAUUGAUUAGUUUUGCUGUAUGUUGCUCGGUACAUGACAAUUGAGUAUAUAUUGCCACUUGUCAGACAUCAUUGUCUACGCAGAACACAGAAUCAAACGAGUGCUUCAUGCUUCGUUUCGCUCGCAUUCUACCAGUGUUUCAUGCAUCCUCCUUAUACUUCAUUUUGUGUGGGCAUAGAUAGUAAGGUUCAAAUUUGGAGUUUGCCUCUACCUUUUCAAGUGCCCAUGUGGUCGAAACUGAAUAUUAAAGCAUCCUUCAAUCUACAUGAACUCUCGGCUUUUGCCUGCCGCACUUAUCGGAGCCGCUCUACCGCUUAUGCCAGGUAGUGUAUGCAGUAUUGCAGGUUGCAGUAAACUGGUUGGUCAGGCGCUCUGCUGCUGAGAUGGGACGGUAUCGUUUAAGAGCGGACGGGCAUUGCAUCCGCACACUAGCCAUUCAUUUGUGGUCGCUUGUGCUGAGCGCAACUCGAGAGACGACGGCCUUGACUCAUGGGUCAGGGUUGGCGUUCGGUCAUAUCAGUUCGGUCUUUAAAUCAUUUGAAGAUUUCGGUUAGCUGGAAAUGACAACAAAAAUUUGGUGCAAAAUUGUCAAGACUGAACAAUUCACUUGCACUCAGUUCGUGCUCGGGGUCAGUCUCGACCAAACUAACCGAUCAUAAAAUCAUAAAAAAAUAAAAUCAAGCACUACCAGACGUGCCACUGCAUACAACCCACUAACUCUCUCUCUCUCUCAAAGAGAAGAAAAACAAAAGAAGGGUCAACAGGAUCCACAUAAUUAAAAUACAACCCGGUUUCUUAAAAGAAAAGAAAAAGGAAGCAAAAGCUUACCAAGUCUACGAGUCAAGGUCACCGCUGCAUACAACAGUGGCAUUGUGACUCAUUGGGUUGGCGCUCGGUCACAUCGUUUCGGUCUUUAAAUCAUUUGAAUAGUUCGGUUGGGUGGAAAUGACAACCAAUUUUGGUACAAAAUUGUCAAGACCGGUCAGUGCGUUCUCGGGUCACUCUUGACAAAACAAACCGAUCAUAUAUUAGAAAAAAAAUCAAGCAUCACCAGUCUCGACUCUCGAUCGUCAAAAUAUACUAGAAAUAUAGCAGGGUAAUUAGAAUUGCCAGACUUUUUUUAUCUUUUCUUUAUUGUUUAUUUUCUCCUAAAAUUCAAUCGCUUAUAUUAAUGUGGCAUCCUAUCUCUAGAAUAAUGGGAGUAAAGUAAUAUAUCCACGUAAUUAAAAUACAAUGCGGUUUCUAAAAGAAAAAGCAAAAGCUUGCAAAGUUCCUUGUGGUUGAACCUUUGCUUUUUUCUAAAAAAGAAAAAGCAAAAGCUUGCAAAGUUUCUUAGUGUUUGUAUUUUUCUAGAUUUAUUGCAGGAUCUAAACGACGUUAUUCUUUCAGUGGUAAUUGGUCCUAUUUUUACAGUGGUAAAUGGCUCUAUUUCUUUCAGUGGUCAGAAUAACGAGGCGUGUGUGGUGACUUCGUCAAUCUUAAAAUCUGCCAGUUCAGUCUCUCGAGGGUGCUCGUAAGAGUAGAGCUGCGUAUGUAUAUUCAUAAAUGUGCGUACAUGUAUAUGAGUGUCUGCGUGUGCAUUGUGUUUCGGAAAAAAAAAAACUUACUAAGUCUACGAGUCAAGGUCACGUGAUCGAGCGAUUGGAAAGUGUGUGCACGCAACGAGCACGGAGAAACAACUGAGGUGGAAUCAAACGGGACCAGCUAAUAUUAAUACACAACUAAAGUCCUUCUAACUAUUUAAACAACAUCUAUCUAAAUAAUUAGUUUAACCAGCAAAUGGAUUAGCUGGUCCACACAGGAUCUUAUACGGUGGCGACUCGAGCCUUUGAGCGAGCAAGCAUCCCAUUUGUGGCGAGCACACAUACUUCGUCUUCUCGCUCGGCAGAGAGAUAUGAGAGAUACAGAGUGCUGCCGGAGAUAUAAUAGACAAAAGCAGGUGCGGAUCGCUUGCACCAGGAAUGGUUGUUCUUUUCGUUCCAUUUACCCCUGGCACAGCGCUCUUCGAUUUUCUUCUGGUUUCUUGAUAUAUUCGUAUUGACCCGUCCGUGCUCGCCGUGUUUUGGUUUCGCAGGUCUUAGCUAGAUACCUCACAACACGAUGCUCUGCUCGGCGUGUCAAGUGGGAGAUGCUCGUGCUGCUUGCACUAUUGCUUCUUUGCCGUGGAAUCGGAAGCACCCAUGGCUCACCGGACGACCACGCCGGCGACAGCGACAUGAUGUCGCUGCUGGAUUUCAAGAGGGCCAUCACCAGCGACCCAAAGCGAGCUCUGGCCUCAUGGAACACAAGCAACCCCCUGUGCAGGUGGGCGGGGGUCACGUGCGGCCGGGCGCACCAGGGGCGUGUGAUCACAUCGCUGGAACUCGCAGGCCAGGGCCUCGAAGGUGAAAUCACCUCCUCUCUUGGAAAUCUAACGUUUUUGAGGACGCUGAACCUGUCCGCGAACAGCUUCUCCGGCCGCUUGCCUCCUCUGGGCCGUCUUAGCAAACUGGAGGUCCUUGAUCUGAGCCAGAACUUCUUGUACGAUACUAUCCCAGACGGAAUCGCCAAUUGCUCCAGCCUUCGUAUACUUGACCUCUCUAAAAACUUUCUAGUCGGUGAACUCCAUCCUAAAGUUGGCUUAAUUUCUGAUCUCUCAGCUUUAAAUCUAUAUCGGAAUAUACUCACAGGAACCAUCCCACCGUCCCUCGGCAAUAUGACUCACCUAGAAAACCUCAAUCUAGGAGGUAAUAAUCUGUCGGGAAGUAUCCCAGCUGAACUUGGAAAAUUAUCGAAUUUGUCGAUCUUGUUUCUAGGUGAAAAUAGAUUAUCAGGCGGCAUACCACAGUCCUUGUUUAAUCUGUCCUCUCUACAUGCCCUAGCCUUGGAUGGGAAUACGCUACGAGGAGUGUUGCCGCCAAACAUUGGUGAUGCGCUCCCUAAUCUCCGAGGGUUGUUUUUAGACAACAACAUGUUUGGUGGUCACAUCCCAGCUUCCAUAGGCAACUGCUCAAAGAUAGAGGAUAUAUAUUUAGGAUCUAACAAUUUCUCUGGUCCCGUUCCUCGUUCUUUCGGCAAGCUUUCAAAAUUGAUUAGCCUUCUCCUCCAUGAAAACAUGAUUGAAGCAAGCAACGAUGAAAGUUGGGGAUUCUUACAUGCAAUGGGAAACUGUACUCUUCUACAAACGAUUUUCCUAGAUUAUAAUCAGCUACAGGGAGGCAUACCGAGUUCAAUUGGCAACAUGUCUGUUAAUCUUCAAUAUUUGGCAUUGUCAGGAAACCGCCUCUCAGGAACAGUUCCCCCAAGCAUAGGGAACCUUCAUGGCCUAAUAUAUCUGUCGCUAGGUAACGAUCUUGCUGGUACAAUUGAAGGAAGGUUUGAAAAGAUGACGCAUUUACAACAUUUGUAUCUCGAGGCAAACAAUUUCACUGGGGCCAUUCCACCAUCUAUUGGGAAUCUUACUAACUUGACAGAACUCAGACUAUCAGAGAAUGCAUUCAGCGGCCACAUACCAGCUAGCUUGGGAAAUCUUCAAUUCCUUGCUUCUCUUAACAUUAGUAACAACAAUCUCAGUGGUAAAAUACCAGUUACCUUGGGGAAUCUCCAACAGCUCACAUUCAUGGAUCUUGGUAACAAUAAUCUCGGUGGUAAAAUACCACGUACCUUGGGGAAUCUCCAACAACUCAUAGAGAUGGACCUUGGCAACAAUAAUCUCAGUGGUAAAAUACCAGUUACCUUGGGGAAUCUCCAACAGCUUAUAGUAAUGGACCUUAGUCACAACAACCUCGAAGGUGAUAUACCAUCCAAUUUGGGAGAUCUUGUUCAACUCCAACACCUGGAUCUUAGCGACAACAAACUUAAAGGUAUCAUACCUUAGGAAGUCAUUCUGUACACGCACAAUAUUCAGCUGCACCAUCCUGUAAUAGUACUUGUUUCAAGGGUCAAUACGCGUAGAUCGCAAGUUUGCUCCACCAAUCUCACCGUCCCACGGUGGACUAAUAGCGAACCUUACAUGAGAUGUACAUGUAAUUCACUGUGAGCCGAUUGCUCCGAUGUAAACAUCCCAUAAUCUCAUUUUUGUGGUACAACUUCCUGGUAUGUUAAUGGCAUGAAAAUCGUUUCUUGAAACUCCAUUGUUGGGAGAUAACCGGCCAUGUUAUUUGACGGGCCAAGCCAGCAGCCCUGCUUUAGGCUUUAGCAUCCUUCUUCUUUCUUUCACCCUUCGCACGUCAAUCUUCAUAGGACUGCAGAGAAACACGGGUAUGUAGAGUGUCACAAGUUCUAUUUUUUAAGAAAAAAGUGUCACAAGUGAAGUGGAUGCACGAAUGGAACCAGGUUCUGUUUAGCUAUCACUAUCAGCGAUCUGGAGAUUGAGAGAAAAACCUGCCUCCGCACCAUUAUCGGUCUCGCCUGCCCUUACCAGCUCACGGAAUUUGACGGGUCAGGGCCAACCCUGCUGCCGCUGUUGCGGUGAUUCCGAGCGCUCUUAAACGGCAUCGUCCCGAGGCAGCCGAUCAAGAGCAACUUAUCGCCCGGCCGGGAUGAGGAUCAGCUGAGCGGCUUCAAUCGGUACGGGCGUACGGCAAACCGACAACCGAGGGCCAAAGGUCGCCGCCGGACUCGAUCGCCGUGUGCUCCGGCGUACUCCCUUGACCCUUGCCGGCCGGUUCGCCGCGUCUGGAAAUCUGUCCGAUCCAACCUGGUAAUAAUCUCCCAGACGGGGACAGUUCUUCAGUAGUUCAGCUCAACUUGCAUCCUGGCAAAGCCAUCAAACUCGUAUGUUCUUUCUUUUUUCGUUUUAUUUGUGUACCCGUGUGCUGACAUGACAUCUUCAUGCGUGGCACCUUGCAGAGAUAUCGAGCUCCUGAGGUGAACGAAGGGAAGCCCACCAUGCCUGUAACACUGCCGCUGCUGCUGCUGCUGUGCAUCGGACGUGUAUGCAGUAUUGCACGCAGGUUGCAGACUUGCAGUAAACUGGUUGGUCAGGCGCUCUGCUGCUGCGAUGGGACGAUAUCGUUUAAGAGCGGGCGGGCAUUGCAUCCGCACAUUAGCCAUUCAUUUGCGAUCGCUCGUGCUGAGCGCAACUCGAGGGGCGACGACCUUGACUCAUGGGUUGGUGUUCGGUCGUAUCGGUUCGGUCUUUAAAUCAUUUGAAGAGUUCGGUUACCUGGAAAUGAAACAAAAAAUUGGCACAAAACUGUCAGGACUGAACAAUUCAGUUUCGGUCAGUUCGUGCACAGGUCAGUUUUGACCGAACUAACCGAUCAUAAUUUAUAUGAAAAAAGAUAAAAUCAAGCCCCAUCAGUCUCGAUCGUCAAAAUGUACUAGAAAUAGCUUUUCGUAAAAAAUAUACCAGAAAUAUAGCAGGGUAAUUAGGAUAGCCAAGCUUUUUUUUAUCUUGUACUUAUUGUUUCUUUCCUCCUAAAGUUCAGUCGCUUAUAUUUAUUUGACAUCUUAUAUCCCUUAGAAGGUAAUCGAAGUAAAGUAACAGGUCCACACAUACUUAAAAUACAACCCGGUUUCUCAAAAGCAAAAAGCAAAAGCUUACCGAGUCUACGAGUCUUUCGAAAAAAACAGUCUAAUACGAGUCAAGGUCACCGCAGCAUGCAACAGCAGCGUGAUUGAGCGAUCGGAAAGUGUGUGGAUGCAACGAGCACAAAGGAAUAGAUUUAUACGGGCACGCAUACUUCGUCUUCUCGCUUGGCAGAAAGAUAGGGGAGAUACAGUUCCGAGUGUUGCCGGAGUUCAAAUAAACCAAAGCGGGCGCGGAUCGCUUGGACCAGGAAUGGUUGUUCUUUUCGUUCAAUUUACCCCUGGCACAGCGCUCUUCGAUUUUCUUCUUCCUUUCUUUUGGUUUCUUGAUAUAUUCGUAUUGACCCGUCUGUGCUCGCCGUGUUUUGGUUUCACAGGUCUUAGCUAGAUACCUCCUAACACGAGGCUCCGCUCGGCGUGUCAAGUGGGAGAUGCUCGUGCUGCUUGGACUAUUGCUUCUUUGCCGUGGAACCGGCAGCACCCAUGGCUCACCGGACGACCACGCCGGCGACGGCGACAUGAUGUCGCUGCUGGAUUUCAAGAGGGCCAUCACCAGCGACCCAAAGCGAGCUCUGGCCUCAUGGAACACAAGCAACCUCCUGUGCAGCUGGGCGGGGUCACGUGCGGCCGGCCGCACCGGGGGCGUGUGAUCACAUCGCUGGGACUCGCAGGCCAGGGCCUCGAAGGUGAAAUCACCUCCUCUCUUGAAAAUCUCACGUUUCUGAGGACGCUGAACCUGUCCGAGAACAGCUUCUCCGGCCGCUUGCCUCCUCUAGGCCGUCUCGGCAAACUGGAGGUCCUUGAUCUGAGCCGGAACUCGUUGCGCGAUGCUAUCCCAGAUGGAAUCGCCAAUUGCUCCAGCCUUCGUAUACUUGACCUCUCUGACAACUCUCUAGUCGGUGAACUCCACCUAAAACUUGGCUUAAUUUCUGAUUUCUCAGUUUUAAAUUUAUAUCAGAAUAGACUCACAGGAACCAUCCCACCGUCCCUCGGCAAUAUGACUCACCUAGAAGAACUCUAUCUAGGAAAUAAUAGCCUGUCAGGAAGUAUCCCUGCUGAGCUUGGAAAAUUAUCGAAUUUGUCGAUCUUGUUUCUAGAUAAAAAUAGUUUAUCAGGCGGCAUACCGCAGUCCUUGCUUAAUCUGUCCUCUCUACGGCAUCUAGUUUUGGGUCAUAAUAAGCUAGGGGGAGUGUUGCUGCCAAACAUUGGUGAUGCGCUCCCUAAUCUCCGAUGGUUGAUUUUACACGACAACUCUCUAGUCGGUGAACUCCACCCUAAACUCGGCUUACUUUCUGGUCUCUCAGCUUUAGAUCUACACGGGAAUAGACUCAGAGGAACCAUCCCACCGUCCCUCGACAAUAUGACUCACCUAAAAGUACUCGGUCUAGAAAAUAAUAGCCUGUCAGGAAGUAUCCCUGCUGAGCUUGGAAAAUUAUCGAAUUUGUCGAUCUUAUCUCUAGGUAAAAAUAGAUUAUCAGGCGGCAUACCACGUUACUUGGGAAAUCUCCAACAACUCAGGUGGAUGGAACUUGAUAACAACAAUCUCAGGGGUAAAAUACCAGUUACCUUGGGGAAUCUCCAACAGCUCAGAUUGAUGGAUUUUAGUCACAGCAAUCUCAGUGGUAAAAUACCACGUACCUUGGGGAAUCUCCAGCAACUCAUAAUGAUGAACCUCAGUAACAACAAUCUUAGAGGUAAAAUACCAGUUACCUUGGGGAAUCUCCAACAGCUUACAUUGAUGGAUCUUAGUCACAACAAUCUCAGUGGUAAAAUACCACGUACUUUGGGGAAUCUCCAACAACUCAUGUGGAUGGACCUUAAUAACAAUAAUCUCCGUGGUAAAAUACCACGUACAUUGGGGAAUCUCCAACAGCUCUCAUCCAUGGAUCUUAGUCACAACAAUCUCGAAGGUGAUAUACCAUCCAAUUUGGGUGACCUUGGUCUACUCUACCACCUGGAUCUUAGCGACAACAAACUUAAAGGUAUCAUACCUUAGGAAGUCAUUCUGUAAUUGCACACUAUUCAGCCGCACCAUCCUGUAAUAGUACUCGUUUCAAGGUUCAAUACGCGUAGAUCGCAAGUUUGCUCCAGCAAUCUCACCGCGCCACGGUGGACUGGAAGCGAGCCUCACUUGAGAAAUACAUGUAAUUCACUGUGAGCUGAUUCGUCUGAUGAAAAGAUCCCAUGAUCUCAUUUUUGUGGUACACCUUCCUGGUAUAUGUUAAUGACACGAAAAGUGUUUCCUGUUUGCUACUGGCAUAAACUUGAUCUCUUUUUUUCCAACCUUCGCACGUCAAUUUUUCAUAGUCGUACGAGUGCAGAGAGAAAAGGCUACGUAAAGUGUCACAAGAAAGUGGAUGCACGAACGGAAUUACGGCUGUUUAACUAUCACUAUCAGUUGGAGUGGCUUCAAUCGGCACGACGGCAAACCGAGCGCCAAAGGCCGCCGCCGCACUCGAUCGCCGAAGCCGGCCGACUUCAGUUGGACGGGUUGCCGGUUCGCUGCAGCUACAUCUGCAGACCUGUCGGACACGGGGGACAGUUCUUCAGUUCAACUUGCAUCCUGGCAAAGCCAUCAAACUCGUAUGUUCUUUUUUUUUCGUUUUAUUUGUGUACUCGUGUGCUGACAUGACAUCUUCAUGCGUGGCACCUUGCAGAGAUAUCGAGCUUCUGAGGUGAACGAAGGGAAGCACACCAUGCCUGUAACACUGCCGCUGCUGCUGCUGUUCUGCAUCGGGCGUGUAUGCAGUAUUGCACACAGGUUGCAGUAAUAAAUACAAUCCGGUUUCUCAAAAACAAAAAGCAAAAGCUUACCAAGUCUACGAGUCUUUCGAAAAAAUAAUCUACGAGUCAAGGUCACCGCAGCAUGCAACAACAGCGUGAUUGAGCGAUCGGAAAGUGUGUGGAUGCAACGAGCACCAAGGAAUAGAUUUAUACGGGCACGCAUACUUCGUCUUCUCGCUUGGCAGAAAGCUAGAUAGGGUAGAUACAGUUCCGAGUGUUGCCGGAGUUCAAAUAAACCAAAGCGGGUGCGGAUCGCUUGGACCAGAAAUGGUUGUUCUUUUCGUUCAAUUUACCCCUGGCAUAGCGCUCUUCGAUUUUCUUCUUUCUUUCUUUUGGUUUCUUGAUAUACUCGUAUUGACCCGUCUGUGCUCGCCGUGUUUUGGUUUCACAGGUCUUAGCUAGAUACCUCACAACACGAGGCUCUGCUUGGCGUGUCAAGUGGGAGAUGCUCGUGCUGCUUGCACUAUUGCUUCUUUGCCGUGGAAUCGGCAGCACCCAUGGCUCACCGGACGACCACGCCGGCGACGGCGACAUGAUGUCGCUGCUGGAUUUCAAGAGGGCCAUCACCAGCGACCCAAAGCGAGCUCUAGCCUCAUGGAACACAAGCAACCCCUUGUGGAGGUGAGCUGGGGUCGCGUGCGGCCGGGCGCACCGGGGGCGUGUGAUCUCGUUGGGACUCUUAGAUCAAGGCCUCGAAGGUGAAAUCACCUCCUCUCUUGAAAAUCUCACGUUUCUGAGGACGCUGAACCUGUCCGAGAACAGCUUCUCCGGUCGAUUGCCUCCUCUGGGUCGUCUCGGCAAGCUGAAGGUCUUUGAUCUGAGCCGGAACUCGUUGCGCGAUGCUAUCCCAGAUGGAUUGGCCAAUCGCUCCAGCCUUCGUAUACUUGACCUGUCUUACAACUCUCUAGUCGGUGAACUUCAUCCUAAACUUGGCUUAAUUUCUAGUCUCUCAGCUUUAUUUCUACGUCAGAAUAGACUCACAGAAACCAUCCCACCGUCCCUCGGCAAUACGACUCACCUAGAAAUACACGAUCUAGGAAAUAAUAGGCUGUCAGGAAGUAUCCCUGCUGAGCUUGGAAAAUUAUCGAAUUUGUCGAUCUUGUUUCUAGAUAAAAAUAGUUUAUCAGGCGGCAUACCGCAGUCCUUGCUUAAUCUAUCCUCUCUACGGCAUCUAGUUUUGGGUCGGAAUAAGCUAGGGGGAGUGGUACCACCAAACAUUGGUGAUGCUCUCCCUAAUCUCCGAUGAUUUUCUUUAUACGACAACAUGUUUGGUAGUCACAUCCCAGCUUCCAUUGGCAACUGCUCAAAGAUAGAGUCUAUCUAUUUAGGAUCUAACAAUUUCUCUGGUCCAGUUCCUCGUUCUUUCGGCAAGCUUACCUGUUCUUUGACAAGUUUCUUCUAGAGAUUGCACCAUGCUUGCCUGCUUGGUGAACUUGAAGCAAACCUUCCAAAAGAAAAUACAAUAUUUACUUGUCAGCGGAGUUGUCUAAUGUAAAUAUUUCAGAAUCCCUGGUACACUUUCCAGUGAUAUGUUAAAACAACUGACGAAAAAAUUCUUUUGUUUUUGUUAUUUGCAUCAACCUGUUCUCCCAGAAACACUCAAGUGCUAUAUGAUACUGUAUUACGCAAAUCAGAACACCUGCAGCACUGCAAAGAAAUCUGUUUUGCCUUUGAAGGUCGAAACUGUAUACACAUAUAUAAUUUUCGAGUUCCAAUCCAUUUUUUCAAAGAAAAUAAGAUGAUGUAUAGCAUGCUUCUGAUAACCAUGAUGCUGUACAAAAAAAUUGCAACUAGCGCAUGUAUCAUGGCAACUUUAAUCAAAAGAAAAAUAGAGAAAUCUCCCAUGCUACAGUGGACGGGAUCUUUGCUCCUCUGAGGCAAAACGGGUAAUCCUACCUACAGGCUGGGAGGAUGGCUCCCCAGAACAAUAGAGAAAUCUCACCAUUGUUGUCAGAUAGCAAGGUCGUCUGAUGGUUUUCAGUCUUUCACAAGAAGCACGAACACCAAUCAUCUUUGUUUAUUAAGCAUCGGACAAAAAUGUAAUUCACCACUAUAUAGUACUAUUAAUAUUAUACAGUCAAUAAUUUGUAUGCAGCAAUAGUAUCAUGAAACUCACAGCAAUAUAUUGACCAAAAUGAACUGACAAUAAAUGUAUCUCCUGUUCUCAAACGAUACAUGUAAUUGAAAUAUAGAUAACUACCAAACUAUAAACACUUUUCACUGAUACGAGACAAGGCUGAAAAAAAUAAUUCUUCUAGUACUCCUUUUCCAAGCCAUCAUUGCCCCAAGAUGGUUGCAAUAUAUAUGCCAGAUUAGGAUGGAUGGCCAUUGUCUUCAAAUGAAAGACAUCAACUUGAAGUACACAAUCAGGUAGAGAGAAAGGGAGAACACUGCACAAAUAUGCUGCCAGAAUAGAAGAGCCGAUGCUUCCUUAACACCAUAUCCUCUCAGGCUGGCAAUUGCUCCAAGCAGGAUAGCGCUUGGCGUGGAGUACUGAAGCGAAAGAACAAAGCGGUGCGUAUGGUCUUGCUCAACAAGUAGAUUCAAUUUGUCUGCUAGCGUCACAACACCAAUGCCAAUGCAUGGGAGCACCAAAAGCCUUGCCACAAUUAUACCGACGAUAGUCCUGAUGCCCAAGGCAUUAUCCUUUGGGCCUUCCGCAAGCAUGCCUCCGAGAAUUAACAUCACCGAGGGAACCACUGCAGCAGCUAGGAUAUCCAAACUAUCAGUGAAGAACGAGAGUGGUGCAUCAGCCCCGAACACAAAAUCUUUCAAGACAGGAACCAUGCCGAUGAUAAUGGCAAGCAAAGAGGCAAUUGUCGGUGGCUGAAGGACGUGCUGGGUUGGAGUCUUUUCAGCUACAACCCUGAUCCUUCUGACCAUUCUUGGCUCUGCCAAACAUCUGAGCGACUUAGGACUGCUUGGUCCAGCACCAGAAGUUCCCUCUUCAGUAAAAUCAAUAUCAGGAAAUGUAUUCUGCGAGGAACCUGAAAUGCUCAUGAAAACUCUGGCGAUGAAUGGUGUCUUUGAGUGCUCUGUUACUUUAUCAACCAUCCCUGGCCAUUCCGCCUCAUGAAGCAGAGACCUACUGUAGUUGCUGAUCUGCUCAGGUUCUUCCUGUAUCUCAUUACCCUCACCAACAAUCUCAUAGAACUGCAUAGGUGGCUCCAUCAUGUGGUAGACCAAAGUGUAGACAAGAAUAACCGCAACCCACUGAGCAAAUGAGGCAUAAGCGUGUGGUGACUUCAUCAAUCUUAGAGAUAUGCCAGUUCAGUCUCUCGAGGGUGCUCGUAAGAGUAGCUGCGUAUGUAUGUUCAUAAAUAUGCGUAGUGUUUGUGUGUGCAUUGUGUUUCGGGAAAAAAAACUUACUAAGUCUACGAGUCAAGGUCACGUGAUCGAGCGAUUGGAAAGUGUGUGCAUGCAACGAGCACAGAGAAACAACUGAGGUGGAAUCAAACGGGACCAGCUUUGGUCUGAUAUAUAUAUACUUAUGCACUUUGUACAUACUCUCAUUGUUUGAAUCGUAAAACGGCGUCAACCUAAUGUUUUGGUGAAAUGGACCUAAUCAACUGACCUGUACCAUUUUCUGCAUCAGCAUGCUUCUGCUCUUUGCUUUAUGUUAGUCAUAUCCGUGUUUACAAGGAGCAUGCAAGCAUUUAGUCGGACACAGCUUAUGCUGCGUGCCGUAUUUUUUCAGCAUCAGAAAAGGCUCUUAAAGAAUAGAAAUGGUUGCUUACAUUAUUGCUACACUAUUGCGAAUAUUUAGCUGCUACUGUUCAUAGGACACUAUAUCAACAAAAUCUGGAACUAGCACGACAACAACGGUCAACUGGACAGGAUCAGCAAGCAAUAACUUGCUUCAGUUUGACGGAGGAUACGAAAUGACACUGCUACCUGGUGGAAUGUACAUGGGAUACCCAUCAGACAUCAGCAAAUGUGUCGCCCAGUUAGACUCUUUCCACCUGGAGUUCUGUUGGAUGGAAUCGCCAGGGAAGAGGCAGCGGCUCGUGCGCACUUACGACCAGUGGCGGAGGACGCCGAAAAUUUUAGGUGUGGCGGACGGGGCUGCGGGCGGCGGCGCGCGGGGCCUGCGGCGGCGGGGCAGCGGGCGCGGGAGCCUGCGGCUGCAGGGCGGCGGGCGCGGGGCCUGCGCGGCGGGAGCCUGGGGCUGCGGACUGGCGGUGGAUUACUAGAUUAUGUUUAAAUAUUAUACGGAAAUAAAGGUUCACAAUAAAAAUAUGGUUUAGAAGUACCUCAAAUGAAGAAAAACACGUAAAGUACGCAUCAAAUCAACAAUUGGACCAAAGAAGCUGUCAAACAAAGAGAAAACAUAAAUUAGUAACGAAAUAUUAGAGUUAAAAUAUUAAAUGUAAUACAAGAUACACAAUGCUAAUUACUUUAGCAAACAGCCAAGAUACUGGUGAAUGGUGCCCAAAUGAGAACGAUGCAGAUUGCAGAACAUAUAGUUUCAUAGAUUACACAUCUACAGAUAUACUCAAUGACAAAGAUGAAAAAACAUAGUUACGCAUAUACUUACCGGCUACCGCACGUAAAGCCUUUGCCCUUAUUACAGGAGAAUUUUCUCUCAAGCUAGCCUGAAAAAACACUGGGUAUUAACUCUAGAACAUCUAGACUAAAAUGAUAUGUCAGGAAUCAACCACGUACCAAAAGAAGGGCAAGAAUUUGGCAUUGAUACAAUUUAGCAAUAUAGAAAUUAGCUACCAGCAAUUGAUACAAACAUUAUAAUGGCGACACAUGAUCACCUAAGGUCCACAAUUCAUAAUGAUCAGAUUGUAUAAUUAGGUGCAUACAGUUUUCUUCUCAUAAGAAUUGAGUGACCUAAAGAACUGAUUGUAAACCACCCAGACUCAAAUGUUCACCAAUCAAAUAGUGAUUGACAUGGCACAUUACUUGUAAAACCGAGUAAAGGCAAACACUACUCUACACGCAUAAUAUUCAGACUACAUAUGAUGUUCAGAAAUUAUAGACCAGACAAAUUCCACCCAAAAUCAUUAUCCUGUCUGCAAUCAAUAAAAGAACAGAGCCACAACCUAGGAUAGAUUUUAUGUGCCAAGUAGUAACUCAUACAUCUUAUACAAAAAGAAAUUGCUGUAGAGAGACAGAGAGAGUGACACACAUAUAGAGAGGGAUGCAAACGACGCUUGGCCAGGGAGAGUUGGGGCACAUAAUGUGAUUAUUGUGAUAGGAAAAAGGUUUGAGUCAUUGAGUGCCUGGUGAAGAAGAUGACCUGAUGCGUCGGACAGCAGGAGGCGGUGCAGGCGUGCAGCCGAUUGACUCCAACCUGCGGCUGCGGGCGGCGGCCGGCAGCGCGCGGGGGCGGGGGCGCGGGGCCGCGGGCGGCGGGCGGCGGCCGGCGGCGCGCGGGGGCGGGGCUGCGGGCGGCGGGGGCGGGGGCGCGGGGCCGCGGGCGGCGGGCGGCGGCCGGCGGCGCGCGGGGCGGGGCUGCGGGCGGCGGGCGCGGGGCCGCGGGGCCGCGGGCGGCGGGCGGCGGCCGGCGGCGCGCGGGGGCGGGGCUGCGGGCGGCGGGCGCGGGGCCGCGGGGCCGCGGGCGGCGGCCGGCGGGCGGCGGCGCGCGGGGGCGGGGUCCUGCGGGCGGCGGGCGGGCGGGGGCGGGGGUGCGGGAGGGCAUUGCAGGCGGCGGGCGGGUGGGGAAUGGAUAGGGUAAAAUUUUUCUGUUGGGCUGGGCCGGGCCGAGGUAUGGCGAACGCCAUACCUCGCCACAUUGGGCCCUCCGCCCCUGCUUACGACUCUGCUGGUCUGGCUGUUUCAUCAACCUACUUCCUGGAGAGCAAAGUAUGAAUCGCACCUUCCACACCCAAACCCCGAGUAGCAACGGUUUUGUAAGUUCCCUAGCAACCUCAUUGAUUAGUUUUGCUGUAUGUUGCUCGGUACAUGACAAUUGAGUAUAUAUUGCCACUUGUCAGACAUCAUUGUCUACGCAGAACACAGAAUCAAACGAGUGCUUCAUUCUUCGUUUCGCUCGCAUUCUACCAGUGUUUCAUGCAUCCUCCUUAUACUUCAUUUUGUGUGG